Myiozetetes cayanensis is the source of this 4842-nucleotide long non-coding RNA. RefSeq lists it as uncharacterized. The transcript has 4 exons. The record is from RefSeq and is a predicted model, not a curated record. NCBI's taxonomy places the organism in Eukaryota, Metazoa, Chordata, Aves, Passeriformes, Tyrannidae.
CCCCCCCUCUGCCCCUCACAGAUCGUUCCUCACCUCGAGGAAUGGGUCACAGACACCCCCUCUCCCCCUCACAGAUCCUUCCUCACAUCGAGGGGUGGAUCACAGACACCCCAUUUCCCCUUCAUGGAUCGUUCCUCACAUCGGGGAGUGGGUCACAGGCACCCCAUCUCCUCCUCACAGAUCUUCCUCACAUCGGGGGGUGGGUCAGAGGCACCCCUAUCCCUCAUAGAUUUUUCUCCUCACCUCGUGGGGGGGGGGGGCACAGACAGCCCCUCUCCCCCUCACAGACCCUUCUUCACAUCGGGGGGUGGGUCACAGGCACCCCCAUCCCUCAUGGAUCCCCUCCUCAUUUCGGGGAGUGGGUCACAGGCACCCCCACUCAUAGAUCUCCUCCGUACCUCGAGGGGUGGGUCACAGACCCUUCCUCACCUGCGGGGAGGGUCACAGAUAUCCCCUCUCCCCCUCACAGACCCCUCCUCAUUUUGCGGUUUGGGUCACAGACGCCCCCAUCAGUGAGGGGAGAGGGUCACAGAAACUCCCCCGUCCCUCACAGACCCCUCCUCAUUUUGGGGAGUGGGUCACAAACACUCCCCCUCUCAUAGAUCUGCUCCUCGCUUCAGGGAGGGUUGUGAGAAAGAUCUAAUUUAUUUCCUUAUUCCUCACAAAGUGGGUCACAGACACCCCCCCCCCUCCCUCAGAGACCCCUCCUCACCUCGCGGGGCACAAAUUGCCCCUCUCAGCCCGUAUCGGGGGGUUUUUGGGGGGUCUGGAGACACCCCCGGUAAGGCGGGAGGGGAUGAGGGUUAACCCUGAGAGAAAGGGGGGAUAUUCCGGAGCCCCCCGCGCUUAAAGCCGCUUCCUCGCGCUUUUUCUUUCAUCGAUAGCCUUUUAAACGCUUAAUUCCCUGUUAAUUAUCGUCGUUUGGCGGUUGUUUAAUUGUGAAUUUCUCGUUAAGUGGCGGGGGGGGCUGUGAUUUGAUGCCUCCCCGUUUCCGCCACGCCUCGAGCUUGUUCCCUAAUUCUCAUUUCUUCUUUUUCUUUCAAUAUUCCUUGAAUAUUUCCCUAACUUGGCGUUUCUCGCCGGUUCUUUUAAGCCCGAACCGUCCGUUUCGCCUUUCAUUUGUAUGGGUUUUUUUGUUUUUAAUGGCUAAAACCCUCGCGGGCGGCGCCGAACAAAGCGCCGCGCCCCGGGAUGCUCCGCGCCCUCACCGGGAAGCGUGGGGAUAACCCCCCAAACCCGCGAUUUUAAUACCAGAACAAAACCUUAAUUUUUUUGAGGGGAUUCGGGGUGUUUUGAGGGAUUUUAUCACCCUUUUUUUUUUUUUUGAAGGGUUUAACGGGGCUCUUCCCCCCCCCCCCCCCCCCCCGGCCGCCAUUUUGUGGUUUUGCCGCUGCGCCACCGCCGCCAUUUGGUGCGCGCGGCGCGUGCGCGGCGCCGCUGCCGCAGUGACACAUCCGGGUCCUUUCCCGCUGCUCCCCCGCCCCGUUAAAUCAAUUAAAUCAAAAUAAAGAUUUCAGUUAAUAAAACAACACCUUUCACACGCCCCCCCUUCCCGUGCGUCGGCCUAAAAACGUGAAUUUCGGGGUAAAAAUCCUUGAUCUUCGCCGUUUCUUUCACGCAAACCCGCUGCGAGGCGGGAAAGGGCCGCCAUGUUGGGGGGGGGAAGCCUGAGGGGGGAGCUCAGACCUCCCUUUUGUUGUGGAUUUCUGAGGGAAAAUCGCAAUUUUUUUAGCGGAUCUGUGUCUUUGUAGUUAAAUAUGUAAUAGAGAGUUAAAUUUUUUCGUUCGUUGUUUUGUUUAUGUCGCUUUUGGGGGCUGUGCGAGAGUAAAUACAGGGUGCUUUGAUCUCCUUUUUGUUGAGCGGAGCCUGAGGGGAAUCUGAACGUUCAGCUUCGUCUGACGUCUAAAUCGUUAGUUUUUUAACACUUAUAUCGCUUUUAUUUACGUUUAAAAAAAACUUAAACGCGGUGGGUUUCUUCUUUAUUUUCGGGGUGUGUUUUGUGUUAGAACCAUGUGCUUCCACCCCGCCUUUUUGUUGUGCGGUACCUGAGGGGAAUUUUAACGUUUUCCAUUCUUUAUUUUGCAUCUAAAUAAAAUGGAUUUAUGUUUAUCCUUUUUUUUUUAACGUAUAAAUGGUUGGAUUUGUGUGUGUUUUUAGGGGGAUAUUCCUUGUUCAAGAGGAGCGUUUGUUCCCUCCUUUUGUUAUGCAAAGCCUGAGGGGAAUUUAAACGUUCACUUUUACUUUUGCAUUUCAGUAAUAAAAUUUACUUUUACUCUUUUUUUUAUUUUAAAACUUUAUUUUUUUGUGCCUUUUUUUUUUUUUUGGGCGGGAAAAUUCCCUCUGAAAGAGCCAUUUGUGGCUUUUGAGUGGAUAAAACGCCCAAAUUCCUCGUUUUGUGCCUUGGCUUCGCAAUUUCUGCCUUAAAAUCCCUUUGUUUUCAUAAAUAGUUGUAGUUUUCUUUGAUAUUUUUCAGGUUACAGGUAGAUUAUACCACAUCAACAUACGUUAAUGUUUGAUUACAAUAGCGUAUUUCAUUGUAGGUAUUUUUUAGUUCUAGUUUUAAUUUUGGGGGGGAAUUCUAUUCUUUGCAAUGGUAAUGUUUAAUAUUUAUUUAUUUAUUUGUUUAUUUAUACAAAUAACGCAAAUAAUUUGUGUUAUUUUGUCCUUAGAUUACAACCAGGCUCUAUAACACAAAUGCACCUUUCAACAUUUAAUUUCAAAGCUGUUUUUUGCACCUAAAUUUGAACUUUAAUACAAUAUUUAUCAUUAUUUCUUUUGCUAAAUUACACCCAGACUCAAUAACACAAAGCCACCUAUUAAUAUUUAAUUCUAGGGCUAUUUUUACACUUGAACUGAGCUUUUAAUACAAUAUUUAUUAUUGGUUUUCUUCUAAGUUGCAGUUGGAACCUAUAACAAACACAGUUAUUAAUAGUUAACUCUGGGGGUAUUUUAUAUUUGUUAAUUCUGAUUUUUGACCCAGUUUCAUUUCUCACCGGAUUACAGCCAGGUUCUGCAGCACAAACACAGCUAUUAAUAAUUAACUUGGGUUGUAUUUUACACUUGGUAAUUCUGAUUUUUGACCCAGUUUCUCUCUUUUCUCCCCCCAGAUCACAGCCAGGUUCUAUAGCACAAAUGCACCUUUUAAUAAUUAACUCUUGUGGUAUUUUACAGUUACAACAUUCAAUUUUUAACCCAUUUCUCAGAUUCCAGCCAGGUUCUAUAGCACAAAUGUAUAACUCAAACACAAGUCUCAACACUUAAUUUUGGGGGUAUUUUACACUUUAUAAUUCUGAUUUUUAACCCAUUUUUCCCCAGAUUACAGCCAUGUUUUGUAACACAAAUCUAUAACACAAACACACAUACCAAUAUUUAACUGUGGGAGUAUUUUAUGCUUAUAAAAUCCAAUUUUUAAUCUGAUUUUUAACCCAGUUAUCCCCCAGAUUACAGCCAGGUUCUGUAACACACACACACAGUUCUUAGUGCUUAUAUUUGGGGAUAUUUUACCCUUAUAAAAUCCAGUUUUUAAUCCGAUUUUUAACCCAUUUCUCCCAUUUCUUCUCAGAUUACAGCCAGGUUUUGUAACACAAAUCUAUAGCACAAACACACAUACCAAUAUUUAACUGUGGGAGUAUUUUAUGCUUAUAAAAUCCAAUUUUUAAUCUGAUUUUUAACCCAGUUUCUCUCAUUUUUCCCCCAGAUUACAGCCAGGUUCUGUAACUCACACCCACACAGUUCUUAGUGCUUAUAUUUGGGGGUAUUUUACGCUCGUAAAAUCCAUUUUUAAUCUGAUUUUUAACCCAGUUUCUCCCAUUUCUCCCCCAGAUUACAGCCAGAUUCUGUAGCACACACACACAGCUCUUAGUGCUUAUAUUUGGGGGUAUUUUACACUUAUAAAAUCCAAUUUUUAAUCCGAUUUUUAACCCAGUUUCUCUCAUUUCUCCCCAGAUUACAACCAGGUUCUGUAGCACACACACACAGCUCUUAGUGCUUAUAUUUGGGGGUAUUUUACCCUUAGAAAAUCCAAUUUUUAAUCCGAUUUUUAACCCAGUUUCUCCCAUUUCUCCCCAGAUUACAGCCAGGUUCUGUAACACAAAUCUAUAACACAAACACACAUACCAAUAUUUAGCUGUGGGGUAUUUUACCCUUAUAAAAUCCAAUUUUUAAUCCGAUUUUUAACCCAUUUUCUCCCAUUUCUCCCCAGAUUACAGCCAGGUUCUGUAACUCACACACACAUAGCUCUUAGUGCUUAUAUUUGGGGGUAUUUUACACUUAUAAAAUCCAUUUUUAAUCCGAUUUUUAACCCAUUUCUCCGAUUUCUCCCCAGAUUACAGCCAGGUUCUGUAACACACACACCCAGUUCUUAGUGCUUAUAUUUGGGGAUAUUUUACCCUUAUAAAAUCCAAUUUUUAAUCUGAUUUUUAACCCAUUUUCUCCCAUUUCUCCCCAGAUUACAGCCAGGUUCUGUAACUCACACACACACCCAGUUCUUAGUGCUUAUAUUUGGGGGUAUUUUACCCUUAUAAAAUCCAAUUUUUAAUCCGAUUUUUAACCCAAUUUCUCUCAUUUCUCCCCCAGAUUACAGCCAGGUUCUGUAACACAAAUCUAUAACACAAACACACCUACCAAUAUUUAGCUGUGGGGGUAUUUUACCCUUAUAAAAUCCAAUUUUUAAUCUGAUUUUUAACCCAUUUUCUCCCAUUUCUCCCCAGAUUACAGCCAGGUUCUGUAACUCACACACACACACACACACACACACAGUUUUUAGUGCUUAUAUUUGGGGGUAUUUUACCCUUAUAAAAUCCAAUUUUUAAUCCGAUUUUUAACCCAGUUUCUCCCAUUUCU